CAGUAGAGUUGUUACGAAAAACAAUAACAACAAAAAAGAUCGCCUUGGCUGCUCUACAGAGAAAGGAUUCUUGAAGGAGGAAAGUGGAAGCAUGUGAUCAAUUAAGAAGCUACUGCAGCCAUCAAGGCAACAGGUUGUAGGGUGGUGCCAUUUACCAUCCUCCAUCAGAGGGAGAAUCGAGUUUGGGACCAAAUGGGAAAAUCUGCACGGAAUCAUGAUCCCAGCCCAGAGAGCUCCCAGGCCAAGGUGCAAUUGCAACCCACCCGGUCCUUUAACCCGAUGUGCCAGGAGGGGAUUGAACCUGUGUCCCAGCACUCCAGAGAUGCUGCUGAUCCUGUUGCACCAUAGGGGAAACUCCAAAAGCUUUUCUUGGCCCAAGCUGCAGGCUCUCAGAAGCUUGACAAACCAGCAUCGCCAUCUGGAGGACAGCAUGAGAAUCUGGGUGGAUAUUAUCCAUUGAAAAUGAUGCGCUCUUCCAUGGAAGGCAAGCCGACAGUGUGUGUGAGGGGCUUUUGAAUCUCUGCUCUGUCACUGACCAUGGAGAACUCGGUUCAUGUGGCUUUCUUUCCUGUAAGAUGAGGAUAACGGUGCCAUCUGACUCGUAGGAUCAUCAUGAAGAUUAAUGAGCUUCCAUUGCCUACUAUCGCUGUAACCAGAGCAACCUGGCUGGCGGGGAAAUAUGGAAACUCCAACUCAUUCUUCUAGAUUCAGGUAAGUCUCCGCCUUUGUCCA
Long non-coding RNA from Phacochoerus africanus (Common warthog), 732 nucleotides. RefSeq lists it as uncharacterized. The transcript is spliced from 6 exons. Lineage: Eukaryota; Metazoa; Chordata; Mammalia; Artiodactyla; Suidae. The record is from RefSeq and is a predicted model, not a curated record.